RNAcentral lists this ribosomal RNA (440 nucleotides) under uncultured bacterium. Its description in RNAcentral is "partial 16S ribosomal RNA". It matches the Rfam family "Bacterial small subunit ribosomal RNA", at positions 28 to 506 of the family's 1533-position model. The record is from RNAcentral.
GAUGAACGCUGGCGGCGUGCCUAAUACAUGCAAGUCGAACGGGGAGUAGCAAUACUCUUAGUGGCGAACGGGUGAGUAACGCGUUGGUACCUGCCCCGAAGCGGGGGAUAACGGACCGAAAGGUCCGCUAAUACCCCAUGUGCUCGGUAACGAGUAAAGGUGAAAACCACUUUGGGAGGGGCCUGCGUCCCAUCAGCUAGUUGGUAAGGUAACGGCUUACCAAGGCGAUGACGGGUAGGGGACCUGAGAGGGUGGCCCCCCACAAUGGAACUGAAACACGGUCCAAAACCCCACGGGUGGCAGCAGGAGGGAAUUUUGGAAAGGGGCGAAAGCCUGAACCAGCAAGGCCGCGUGGGGGAUGACGGCCUUGGGGUUUUAAAGCAUUUUUGACUGGGACGGGGAAGGACGGUCCCGGUGGAAUCAGCCUCGGCUAACUACGU